GAUGUGGCUCCCAUCGAAUACCCGGGAUUUUGUGAGAAGUGUGGGUAGUGGGGUGGCUGAGCAAAUCCCGAGGCCUGAGUGCCUCCUUGGGACUCUCCCAUUCCCUCUUCUGACAUGCUAACUCCCAGACUGCCAUCUCUCCUCUGCUAUACAUCCAUAUCAUCCCCCAUGUCCUCUGACAUUCCUCCCUGAACUGUUCCCCUCACUGAUCUGCUUCUACCCAGAUCCAGAGACCUUCUAGGGUCUCUUGCUGCUCUUUCUCUGCUAGCCCUACUAGACAUUGCCCUAGGCAAUGCAGGAGGACGGGCGCUCAUGCCCUCAUCCUCAGGUGGCACUCCAGUCAAUCGUGCAGAUCGACGAGUUCCUCUCAUCUUGUUUUCUGAAACACAGUACACAUCACAUAAACGUUAGCAUCAUAUGGUUCAUGUGGGCACACAUGAACCCGCAUCACAUACAUAUCAUUCAUAUCAUAGCAUUAAUGCACAUGUAUAUAAUCAUGGCAUUUCACAUCAUCAUACAAGACAGGACUCCACAUCCUAUCCUAGUGGACAUGACCUUUCCUAUUGUGCUUGACCUUCUAUAACAUCUAUGAGCCCGACACUCUAGGUCCGACCAUAUGAACCUAGGGCUCUGAUACCAUUCUGUAACGACCCGAAAAUCGGACCGCUACCGGCAUUAGGAUCC
Molecule: long non-coding RNA, 684 nt
Filed under: Manihot esculenta (cassava)
Lineage: Eukaryota; Viridiplantae; Streptophyta; Magnoliopsida; Malpighiales; Euphorbiaceae
Description: long non-coding RNA (MESC_LNC005426)
Source: RNAcentral